This 568-nucleotide ribosomal RNA is filed under the name uncultured Actinomycetes bacterium. Its description in RNAcentral is "bacterial SSU rRNA". It matches the Rfam family "Bacterial small subunit ribosomal RNA", at positions 338 to 916 of the family's 1533-position model. Lineage: Bacteria; Bacillati; Actinomycetota; Actinomycetes. The record is from RNAcentral.
CCUACGGGAGGCAGCAGUGGGGAAUAUUGCACAAUGGGCGCAAGCCUGAUGCAGCAACGCCGCGUGAGGGAUGAAGGCCUUCGGGUUGUAAACCUCUUUUAGCAGGGAAGAAGCGAAAGUGACGGUACCUGCAGAAAAAGCACCGGCUAACUACGUGCCAGCAGCCGCGGUAAUACGUAGGGUGCAAGCGUUGUCCGGAAUUAUUGGGCGUAAAGAGCUCGUAGGCGGUUUGUCACGUCUGCUGUGAAAAUCCAAGGCUCAACCUUGGACUUGCAGUGGGUACGGGCAGGCUAGAGUGCGGUAGGGGAGAUGGGAAUUCCUGGUGUAGCGGUGGAAUGCGCAGAUAUCAGGAGGAACACCAAUGGCGAAGGCACAUCUCUGGGCCGUAACUGACGCUGAGGAGCGAAAGCGUGGGGAGCAAACAGGAUUAGAUACCCUGGUAGUCCACGCCGUAAACGGUGGGUGCUAGCUGUGGGCCACAUUCCACGUGGUCCGUAACGAAGUUAACACAUUAAGCACCCCGCCUGGGGAGUACGGCCGCAAGGCUAAAACUCAAAGGAAUUGACGG